Molecule: ribosomal RNA, 491 nt
Filed under: uncultured bacterium
Lineage: Bacteria
Description: partial 16S ribosomal RNA
Rfam family: Bacterial small subunit ribosomal RNA
Source: RNAcentral
AGUGAACGCUGGCGGUAGGCCUAACACAUGCAAGUCGAACGGCAGCACAGUAAGAGCUUGCUCUUACGGGUGGCGAGUGGCGGACGGGUGAGGAAUACAUCGGAAUCUACUUUUUCGUGGGGGAUAACGUAGGGAAACUUACGCUAAUACCGCAUACGACCUACGGGUGAAAGCAGGGGAUCUUCGGACCUUGCGCGAUUGAAUGAGCCGAUGUCGGAUUAGCUAGUUGGCGGGGUAAAGGCCCACCAAGGCGACGAUCCGUAGCUGGUCUGAGAGGAUGAUCAGCAACACUGGAACUGAGACACGGUCCAGACUCCUACGGGAGGCAGCAGUGGGGAAUAUUGGACAAUGGGCGCAAGCCUGAUCCAGCCAUACCGCGUGGGUGAAGAAGGCCUUCGAGUUGUAAAGCCCUUUUGUUGGGAAAGAAAAGCAGCAGGUUAAUACCCCGCUGUUCUGACGGUACCCAAAGAAUAAGCACCGGCUAACUUCGU